CCUACGGGCGGCUGCAGUGAGGAAUAUUGGUCAAUGGCCGGGAGGCUGAACCAGCCAAGUCGCGUGAGGGAAGACUGCCCUACGGGUUGUAAACCUCUUUUGUCAGGGAGUAAGGUGCAGGUCGGGACCUGCUGUGAGAGUACCUGAAGAAAAAGCAUCGGCUAACUCCGUGCCAGCAGCCGCGGUAAUACGGAGGAUGCGAGCGUUAUCCGGAGUGACUGGGUGUAAAGAGUUGCGUAGGUGGCAUAAUAAGUAGCUAGUGAAAUCUGGUGGCUCAACCAUUCAGACGAUUAGGUAACUGGUAAGCUCGAGUACAGUAGGGGUAACUGGAAUUUCUAGUGUAGGAGUGAAAUCCGUAGAUAUUAGAAGGAACACCAAUAGCGUAGGCAGGUUACUGGAACGGUUCUGACACUAAGGCACGAAAGCGUAGGGAGCAAACGGGAUUAGAUACCCUGGUAGUC
This 461-nucleotide ribosomal RNA is filed under the name uncultured bacterium. Its description in RNAcentral is "partial 16S ribosomal RNA". It matches the Rfam family "Bacterial small subunit ribosomal RNA", at positions 338 to 795 of the family's 1533-position model. The record is from RNAcentral.